CUCUUGUUCUCUACGUCCUUUUUUUUUUACUUCUCCCUCCCUCCCUCCCCCUCCCUUCAUCAUGUUAGACUGUUGUCUAAAUUGCUGAUUUGUCUGUUUGAUGCAUUAUUAUCUGUUUCGGUCAAGUUUGAAUGUCAAAGUGGGUGCCCAGCGUCAAAAUGCUAUGGGUUGCAAGAUCUCAAGUUCAUGUGAUUCAAAUAUGCUCAGAUUCUUCUCCAUUUGCUGAAACAUUAAGUUACUGGUCCAAGUUACAGAGGAAUGGCAUGAGGCAUGAUUGCAUUAUCUCUGAUGGAAGGAUGCAGAAACAUGCAUACAUGAAGAGUGCAUGCACAUAAUUUCAUGCAACAUGGUGCUGCUCUGUAUUUGUAAGAGAUUGCUAGGAACUGACAACAAUUUUUUUUUUUUUUUUACUUAUUUCAUCAAGCAUUCCUGCUCAUCUGAUCGUUUGAUUUUUUUUCUUUUCUUUUCCUUAGCAGAGUUUUAAAUUAACUUGAAAUGAAGUAAAAGCCCAUUAAU
Molecule: long non-coding RNA, 516 nt
Organism: Alnus glutinosa
Lineage: Eukaryota; Viridiplantae; Streptophyta; Magnoliopsida; Fagales; Betulaceae
Exons: 2
Source: RefSeq, a predicted model, not a curated record